GCCCGCGCCAGGUCUAGGUUCUCGUCGCUGUACUUGCCCCACGGGAUGGACGUCAGCCAGUCCAGGUAGUUGCAGGUGACGUUAAACUCGGAGGAAUGGUUGUCCAGCAGGCCCAGCUUGCUCAGCUCCUCGUCCACCACGUCCAUGACGUGCUUGGGGACCACGAGCUCCUUAAGCCGCUCACGGAACUUCUUCUCGAUGGCGUCCUUGUCAUCCUUCUCCAGGCCCAGCUCCUCAGCUGCUCCUGCAGCAGGUACUUGCGGUGUGUCUGCUUGAUCUUCUCCUCCACCUCUCCGCCCAGGCGCUGCUGCAGCUUGCUCAGUUCAAACUCCUUUUUGAGAAGGGACAGGGCCUUAUACAGCCGCUUUGGAAUCUUGUAGAGUGGGUUCAAGGCGAUGAUGUCCCUGAUGGUCUUCACGAUCUCCGCAGUCAGAGCCUUCACCUCCUCCGGGACCUGGAAGUCCUCGUGGGCCACGUUCUCCACCUCCACCAUAAGCACCUCGCCAGCAGGGCUGGGACCAGGCCCCACCACCACCUCCAGCGGCUGCUUGGUGGCCCCGUCCUCUUCUGCCUCUUUCUUGCCCCGCUUGGGCUUCUUGCGCAGCUUCUGCUUGUUCUCGCCCUCGGGGUCCUCGGGGUCUACCUCCAACUGUCGGUUGAUGUGAACCCUCCGGUGUCCCAUGACGAUCAUGUGCAGCUUGUCCCCCAGGUCCUACAUUUCGUGGAUCUGCAUGAAUGUCCCCGUGUGGUAGAUCUCAUCCAGGCUCUCAACCACGUCGGACUCAUUGUUGUCAUCUUUCUUUAGAAAGACGCCGGCAUACGGCUGGGCAAGGCGGACUUUCCUUCUUAGCAGCUCAACCAGCUUCUUAUUUUUAACCUCAACAAUCUUGAUAAAGCGUGGGAACACUGGGUUGCGAGUAACGGCGAUGAGUGGCAGGUGCGGGAAUACGUCCGGGAUCAUCAUCCCGGCGUCAGCGCCGUUAUGACAGGGCCCUCCCCAACGCCCGCGCUGCUUCCCACGCCCGAGGCCCGGUCCUCCGCGCCGCCCUCGGAGGCAUCCUCGCCUCCCGAGAAGGCGCCCCCGCCGCUGCGGUUGUUCGCCUCCCAAAGUCCCCGCCAGUGGCCCGCGGCAGCGGGGCUUUGGCCCCACAGCGCCCACGGAGGCGAGGCAUCGCAGGCCCCCCACAAGUGCUGAGAAAUAUUGCCUUUUUUUUUUUUUUUUUCUUCAGUCACAGUUUCA
This 1240-nucleotide long non-coding RNA is filed under the name Cervus hanglu yarkandensis (Yarkand deer). RNAcentral's name for it is "lncRNA (ENSCHYG00000005924.1)". The record is from RNAcentral. Lineage: Eukaryota; Metazoa; Chordata; Mammalia; Artiodactyla; Cervidae.